AUAUCAAUAAGCGCAGGAAAAGAAACCAACAGGGAUUACCUCAGUAACGGCGAGUGAAGCGGUAAUAGCUCAAAUUUGAAAUCUGGCCUCUUGGGGUCCGAGUUGUAAUUUGUAGAGGAUGUUUUGGGUACCGCCCCGGUCUAAAUUUCUUGGAACAGAAUGUCAAAGAGGGUGAGAAUCCCGUCUUGGACCGGCGGUAGGGCCUGUGUAAAACUCCUUCGACGAGUCGAGUUGUUUGGGAAUGCAGCUCAAAAUGGGUGGUAAAUUUCAUCUAAAGCUAAAUAUUGGCCAGAGACCGAUAGCGCACAAGUAGAGUGAUCGAAAGAUGAAAAGCACUUUGAAAAGAGAGUUAAACAGUAUGUGAAAUUGUUGAAAGGGAAGCGCUUGCAACCAGACUUGAGCGCGGCGGUUCCCCCGGUCUUUUGGCCGGGCUACUCCGUCGUGUCCAGGCCAACAUCGGUUCUGAGGGUCGGUCAAAGGCCUUGGGAAUGUAUCUACCCACGGGUAGACUUAUAGACCAGGGUGUCAUGCGGCCUCUCGGGACCGAGGAACGCGCUUCGGCUCGGAUGUUGGCGUAAUGGUUGUCAGCGA
Molecule: ribosomal RNA, 591 nt
Filed under: uncultured fungus
Lineage: Eukaryota; Fungi
Description: eukaryotic LSU rRNA
Rfam family: Eukaryotic large subunit ribosomal RNA
Source: RNAcentral